AACGAACGCUGGCGGCAUGCCUAACACAUGCAAGUCGAACGAGAUCUUCGGGUCUAGUGGCGCACGGGUGCGUAACGCGUGGGAAUCUGCCCUUUGGUUCGGAAUAACAGUUGGAAACGACUGCUAAUACCGGAUGAUGACGAAAGUCCAAAGAUUUAUCGCCAGAGGAUGAGCCCGCGUAGGAUUAGCUAGUUGGUGUGGUAAAGGCGCACCAAGGCGACGAUACUUAGCUGGUCUGAGAGGAUGAUCAGCCACACUGGGACUGAGACACGGGCCAGACUCCUACGGGAGGCAGCAGUGGGGAAUAUUGGACAAUGGGCGAAAGCCUGAUCCAGCAAUGCCGCGUGAGUGAUGAAGGCCUUAGGGUUGUAAAGCUCUUUUACCCGGGAUGAUAAUGACAGUACCGGGAGAAUAAGCUCCGGCUAACUCCGUGCCAGCCGCCGCGGUAA
This 449-nucleotide ribosomal RNA is filed under the name uncultured bacterium. RNAcentral's name for it is "partial 16S ribosomal RNA". It matches the Rfam family "Bacterial small subunit ribosomal RNA", at positions 29 to 523 of the family's 1533-position model. The record is from RNAcentral.